RNAcentral lists this ribosomal RNA (295 nucleotides) under Economidichthys pygmaeus (Western Greece goby). RNAcentral describes it as "partial 12S ribosomal RNA". Lineage: Eukaryota; Metazoa; Chordata; Actinopteri; Gobiiformes; Gobiidae. The record is from RNAcentral.
CCCAAAGGACUUGGCGGUGCUUUAGACCCCCCUAGAGGAGCCUGUUCUAGAACCGAUAACCCCCGUUUAACCUAACCCCCUCUUGUUCCCCCCGCCUAUAUACCGCCGUCGUCAGCUUACCCUGUGAAGGACUAAUAGUGAGCAUAAUUGGCACAGCCUAAAACGUCAGGUCGAGGUGUAGCGUAUGAGGGGGGAAGAAAUGGGCUACAUUCACUGAACCAGUGAAAACGAACGAUAACAUGAAACACCUAUCUAAAGGAGGAUUUAGCAGUAAGAGGGCAGCAGAGUGCCCCCC